Molecule: long non-coding RNA, 1291 nt
Filed under: Homo sapiens (human)
Lineage: Eukaryota; Metazoa; Chordata; Mammalia; Primates; Hominidae
Description: non-protein coding lnc-IGHMBP2-1:3
Source: RNAcentral
GUUGUCCGGCCCCACCGGCUGGCCGCAAGAGCAGAACUCAGGAAAGAAAAAGGAAAGUAAAUUGAAGGCUUAAGAAAAAGGCCAAUCUGUUGUCAACAGCUCUUAUGGAAAGGGAGAUUAGCAAUGUGAGAGGACGUGGAUGCGGACGUAGACGUGGAAAAAAGUCAAGUUAGGAAUGGAUUCAAGAGCCAGACAAGGUGGGCGCCUGUGAUCCCAGCUACUCGGGAGGCUGAGGCAGGGGAAUGGCGUGAACCCGGGAGGCGGAGUUUGCAGUGAGCCGAGAUCGCGCCACUGCACUCCAGCCUGGGAGACACAGCGAGACUCCGUCUCAAAAAAAAAAAAAAGAAAAGAAAAAGAAAAAGAAAGAGAUUAAUGUGCGCGAUGCAAAAAGAAAGGACACUGGAAGGAUGAGUGUUCAGAAGGCAAUGAGGGAAAUAGCCAAGACCACGAGACAAAGAGGCCAUCGGCCAAGGGCUGCCGCACCUUGGGGAACCAAAUACUGAUCUGAUCAGGCUGGCAGGAGCCGAAGGACGUAAGGAACAGGACAGACCGGGAACCUUCUCAUUAGGCACCCAGGGGCCCAUGGUCACAUUAGAAGUUAAAGGCAGCAGGAUUCUGCUGUAUCUGGAUUCCAAUUUCUCACUGAUGGCUAAGCCACUAGAUGGAGUUACAAAAGGGGAAGAAAAAGAACCCCUCCUCUGGGAAACAGCAGGAGAAGGAGCCCUGCCUGGUGAAAACUUGCUUAUAGACUUCACAGAACCUCCCCGUGCCGGAGGUUAUUGGUUCAUGCUAGUGCUUGUUUGCACCUUUUCAGGGUGUUAUGUCUUGGAUCCACCACAGUCGGCUAACACUGGCAGCUCAGGACAAGUGAACCAGCCAGCAGGACCCAGAUCAUCCAACCUGGCUGAUCCUUAGAUGAGACCGAGUUGCUGCUGAGGACAACAGCCCUGCUCUAGUCACUCUGGAGGCUGACUAGUCUACGCACGGCUGAAACUUGAGGACUUGUCAAGCAAGUAAUGUAGCUAAAAUCUUAAGACUAGUGGUUUUCGUGUACACUAACUGUUUUACUAUUGUUCUGUCGCUGUGCUCAACCUUUUUCCCAGGUAAGGACCUUUUUUGUCCUUGCUGGAUAUGAAUAUGCUGUACAUUGUUUUGUUGUUACCCCCCUUAACCAUGUAGAAGAAACACCUACAGAAGGUGUCCCCACUGUACACAUACUACUUGGUCAGGGAACAGUAUAACUAGAACCCUAUUGCACUAUACUUAUUAUGAGUGUACAGGGACUCGCUUA